UACGUAGAGUGCGAGCGUUGUCCGGAAUUAUUGGGCGUAAAGAGCUCGUAGGCGGUUUGUCGCGUCGACUGUGAAACCCCGAGGCUUAACCUCGGGCCUGCAGUCGAUACGGGCAGACUAGAGUUCGGUAGGGGAGACUGGAAUUCCUGGUGUAGCGGUGAAAUGCGCAGAUAUCAGGAGGAACACCGGUGGCGAAGGCGGGUCUCUGGGCCGAUACUGACGCUGAGGAGCGAAAGCGUGGGGAGCGAACAGG
RNAcentral lists this ribosomal RNA (253 nucleotides) under uncultured bacterium. Its description in RNAcentral is "partial 16S ribosomal RNA". It matches the Rfam family "Bacterial small subunit ribosomal RNA", at positions 524 to 776 of the family's 1533-position model. The record is from RNAcentral.